This 252-nucleotide ribosomal RNA is filed under the name uncultured bacterium. RNAcentral's name for it is "partial 16S ribosomal RNA". It matches the Rfam family "Bacterial small subunit ribosomal RNA", at positions 524 to 776 of the family's 1533-position model. The record is from RNAcentral.
UACGUAGGUGGCGAGCGUUGUCCGGAAUCAUUGGGCGUAAAGGGAGCGCAGGCGGGCAUGUAAGUCUUUCUUAAAAGUUCGGGGCUCAACCCCGUGAUGGGAAAGAAACUACAAGUCUUGAGUACAGGAGAGGAAAGCGGAAUUCCCAGUGUAGCGGUGAAAUGCGUAGAUAUUGGGAGGAACACCAGUGGCGAAGGCGGCUUUCUGGACUGCAACUGACGCUGAGGCUCGAAAGCCAGGGGAGCGAACGGG